RNAcentral lists this ribosomal RNA (711 nucleotides) under uncultured bacterium. RNAcentral's name for it is "bacterial SSU rRNA". It matches the Rfam family "Bacterial small subunit ribosomal RNA", at positions 53 to 775 of the family's 1533-position model. The record is from RNAcentral.
ACAUGCAGUCGAACGAAGAGUAUUUGUAGUAAUACAGGUGCUUCUUAGUGGCGAACGGCUGAGUAACGCGUUGGUGACCUGCCCCAAAGUGUGGGAUAACAGUCCGAAAGGAUUGCUAAUACCUCAUGUGGUCUUCGGAAUUAGAAACCGAUUUCUAAAGGAGUAAUCCGCUUUGGGAGGGGCCUGCGUCCCAUCAGCUAGUUGGUGAGGUAAUGGCUCACCAAGGCUUCGACGGGUAAGGGGCCUGAGAGGGUGGCCCCUCACAAUGGAACUGAAACACGGUCCAUACACCUACGGGUGGCAGCAGUAGGGAAUAUUGGGCAAUGGGCGAAAGCCUGACCCAGCAACGCCGCGUGUGCGAUGAAGGUCUUCGGAUCGUAAAGCACUUUUCUGGGAGAUGAGAAAGGACAGUAUCCCAGGAAUAAGCCUCGGCUAACUACGUGCCAGCAGCCGCGGUAAAACGUAGGAGGCGAGCGUUAUCCGGAUUUACUGGGCGUAAAGCGCGUGCAGGCGGUUCAGCAAGUUGGAUGUGAAAGCUCCUGGCUCAACUAGGAGAGGUCGUUCAAUACUACUGAACUUGAGGGCAUCAGAGGAAGGUGGAAUUCCGGGUGUAGUGGUGAAAUGCGUAGAUAUCCGGAGGAACACCAGUGGCGAAGGCGACCUUCUGGGAUGUUCCUGACGCUCAGACGCGAAGGCUAGGGUAGCAAACGG